RNAcentral lists this unclassified non-coding RNA (339 nucleotides) under soil metagenome. RNAcentral's name for it is "partial contains 5.8S ribosomal RNA, internal transcribed spacer 2, and large subunit ribosomal RNA". The stretch from base 1 to 120 matches the Rfam family "5.8S ribosomal RNA", at positions 35 to 154 of the family's 154-position model. The record is from RNAcentral.
GAUGAAGAACGUAGCGAAAUGCGAUAAGUAAUGUGAAUUGCAGAAUUCCGUGAAUCAUCGAAUCUUUGAACGCACAUUGCGCCCCCUGGUAUUCCGGGGGGCAUGCCUGUCCGAGCGUCAUUGCAACCCUCAAGCGCGGCUUGUGUGUUGGGCUUCGUCCCCCCGUGGACGUGCCCGAAAGGCAGUGGCGGCGUCCCGAAUGGUGCCCGAGCGUAUGGGAACUCUCUUCCGCUCGAACCGGCCCAUCCGGCGCUGGUCGAACCCCAAUUUUUUUUUACCGGUUGACCUCGGAUCAGGUAGGGAUACCCGCUGAACUUAAGCAUAUCAAUAAGCGGAGGA